RNAcentral lists this ribosomal RNA (468 nucleotides) under uncultured bacterium. Its description in RNAcentral is "partial 16S ribosomal RNA". It matches the Rfam family "Bacterial small subunit ribosomal RNA", at positions 28 to 507 of the family's 1533-position model. The record is from RNAcentral.
GACGAACGCUGGCGGCGUGCUUAACACAUGCAAGUCGAACGGAAAGGCCCUGCUUUUGUGGGGUGCUCGAGUGGCGAACGGGUGAGUAACACGUGAGUAACCUGCCCUUGACUGUGGGAUAACUUCAGGGAACUGGGGCUAAUACCGGAUAGGAGCUCCUGCUGCAUGGUGGGGGAUGGAAAGUUUCGGCGGUUGUGGAUGGACUCGCGGCUUAUCAGCUUGUUGGUGGGGUAGUGGCUUACCAAGGCUUUGACGGGUAGCCGGCCUGAGAGGGUGACCGGCCACAUUGGGACUGCGAUACGGCCCAGACUCCUACGGGAGGCAGCAGUGGGGAACAUUGCACAAUGGGCGGAAGCCUGAUGCAGCAACGCCGCGUGCGGGAUGACGGCUUUCGGGUUGUAAACCGCUUUCGCCUGUGACGAAGCGUGAGUGACGGUAAUGGGUAAAGAAGCACCGGCUAACUACGUG